AGAGAGAGACUGAAGAUGCAGUGCUGCUGGUUUUUAAGAUGAAGGAAGGAACCAAGAGGCAAGGAAUACAGGCAACUUCGAGAAGCUGGAAAAGAUCCCGCUUUCUAAUUGCAUGGUUGGCCAUUCUCCCAUUAUCUCCUACCUGGACCUCUCCUCAUGGGUCGCCCUCACCAUGGUGAAUUCAAUUCAAGAGGAAGAAAGUGGCCAGGCAUUGUUCGAACAACAAUAGCUUCUCUAGUUCUAUAAUCAAAUAUGUACGUUUGUUAACAAUUAUCUAUGGCCAAAUCGCUCUGAAAAAAAAAAUCGGUGAGGAUCAGAAUCACUGGGACUUUGGUUAUAAUUGUGUUUGCAUUAUUACAGCCUCAUUAUAUUUCACCGUUGAGUUUACCCCAUGGUUUCUCUGUUGGACUCCCACGCAGGGUGGUUUACAAUUGUGUGUCUAAAAAGACACGCCUAAGCCUUGAAACAUUUAAAUGUUACAAAAAUCAAUUCUACCUAUGUGAUUCCCAGCUGAACACCACUUCUGAUGUGCAUCGGCUUCAAAAGAAAUUAAAAGAUAAGUAACAUGAUUACAAUCAGAUUAGCUUGUCUAGGCAGACAAACAAGAUUGCAGAGCUGUCUGAAUGAAGAUACUCACUUCCUAGUGAGACCAGUUUACAUCACAUUAAACAAAAAUGAGUUUCCAAUAUGUGUACUAUGUAACAGAGUGGGUAAAUGAAAAAUGCAUCUUUGUGACUGAAUAUGAGUCAAGGGAACUGUUAUUUUGUGACUAUGCUAGUAUUUACUGCCUGUCAGAACACUUUAUGAGGUAUCAGAAAAAAACCAAAUCACUCUCUGAGAUUUUUCGCUCAAAUUAAAAGUAUU
RNAcentral lists this long non-coding RNA (864 nucleotides) under Equus caballus (horse). RNAcentral's name for it is "lncRNA (ENSECAG00000060110.1)". The record is from RNAcentral. Lineage: Eukaryota; Metazoa; Chordata; Mammalia; Perissodactyla; Equidae.